RNAcentral lists this ribosomal RNA (253 nucleotides) under uncultured bacterium. Its description in RNAcentral is "partial 16S ribosomal RNA". It matches the Rfam family "Bacterial small subunit ribosomal RNA", at positions 524 to 776 of the family's 1533-position model. The record is from RNAcentral.
GACAGAGGUGCCGAGCGUUAGGCGGAAUCACUGGGCUUAAAGCGUGUGUAGGCGGGCGGGCAAGUACCUUGUGAAAUCCCACGGCUCAACCGUGGAACUGCUGGGUAUACUGCCUGUCUUGAGCCAGCCAGGGGCAGUCGGAACAGACGGUGGAGCGGUGAAAUGCGUAGAUAUCGUCUGGAACGCCAAAGGUAAAAACAGACUGCUGGGGCUGUGCUGACGCUGAGACACGAAAGCCAGGGGAGCGAACGGG